ACAGGUGCUUCAGCUCAUUCACAGCAUAGAUAGGAGUUAGGUCAUACAGCUAUUGUUGGUGAGCUCCAGUUUGCUUCGGAGCUUUCCGAGUCGGUCCCUUAUGUUUUGUUAUUGUACAGGAGUCAUGUGUGGGCGGGGGUUUGUCCCGACCCUAGUUAUGUCAUGUAUAUCCUAGAGGCUUUGUAGACAUAAGGAAGGGUAAAGUCAUGGAAGUUUAUAUAGUGAUGUUAUAUUUGUAUAUGUG
RNAcentral lists this long non-coding RNA (244 nucleotides) under Capsicum annuum. RNAcentral's name for it is "long non-coding RNA (CANN_LNC004891)". The record is from RNAcentral. Lineage: Eukaryota; Viridiplantae; Streptophyta; Magnoliopsida; Solanales; Solanaceae.